Molecule: non-coding RNA, 202 nt
Organism: Arachis ipaensis
Lineage: Eukaryota; Viridiplantae; Streptophyta; Magnoliopsida; Fabales; Fabaceae
Source: RefSeq, a predicted model, not a curated record
CUGCAAACCACAGAGCUUCCUGAAUAGCAAAUAAUUGCUCAUCCGGAAAGUUUUCAGAGAUCUCAGUAAGAGGGAGGAACGCCCCUUCUACUGGUUCUAUCCGAGACAGGUGAUCUGCUACUUGGUUUUCUGUCCCUUUUCUGUCUCUUAUCUUUAUAUCAAACUCUUGCAGGAGCAACACCCACCUUAUGAGCCUGGGUUU